RNAcentral lists this ribosomal RNA (250 nucleotides) under uncultured Bacillus sp. RNAcentral describes it as "partial 16S ribosomal RNA". It matches the Rfam family "Bacterial small subunit ribosomal RNA", at positions 524 to 773 of the family's 1533-position model. Lineage: Bacteria; Bacillati; Bacillota; Bacilli; Caryophanales; Bacillaceae. The record is from RNAcentral.
UACGUAGGUGGCAAGCGUUGUCCGGAAUUAUUGGGCGUAAAGCGCGCGCAGGUGGUUCUUUAAGUCUGAUGUGAAAGCCCACGGCUUAACCGUGGAGGGUCAUUGGAAACUGGGGAACUUGAGUGCAGAAGAGGAAAGUGGAAUUCCACGUGUAGCGGUGAAAUGCGUAGAGAUGUGGAGGAACACCAGUGGCGAAGGCGACUUUCUGGUCUGUAACUGACACUGAGGCGCGAAAGCGUGGGGAGCGAAC